This 344-nucleotide ribosomal RNA is filed under the name uncultured bacterium. RNAcentral describes it as "bacterial SSU rRNA". It matches the Rfam family "Bacterial small subunit ribosomal RNA", at positions 1 to 334 of the family's 1533-position model. The record is from RNAcentral.
GUGAGUAGUUCAGAGUUUGAUCCUGGCUCAGGAUGAACGCUGGCGGCGUGCUUAACACGUGCAAGUCGAACGGAUUUAACAGAAAGCUUGCUUUCGGUUAAAUUAGUGGCGGACGGGUGAGUAACGCGUGGAUAACCUGCCGUAUACAGGGGGAUAACAUUUAGAAAUAGGUGCUAAUACCGCAUAAGCGCACAGUUUCGCAUGAGACAGUGUGAAAAACUCCGGUGGUAUACGAUGGAUCCGCGUCUGAUUAGGUAGUUGGUGGGGUAACGGCCCACCAAGCCGACGAUCAGUAGCCGGCCUGAGAGGGUGAACGGCCACAUUGGGACUGAGACACGGCCCAA